AUGAGUUCGUUGCAGUUAAUGAUUUGUUGGAUCUCGUUUCUAACGUUAUCAAUCUCACUCUCUGCUUCUUCGGAUGAUCAAUUCACCGUCGACGGAACAGUACUAGAACUCACCGAUUCCAAUUUCGACUCGGCGAUUUCAACUUUCGAUUGCAUCUUUGUUGAUUUCUAUGCUCCUUGGUGUGGUCACUGCAAGCGUCUUAACCCUCAGUUAGAUGCAGCUGCUCCUAUUCUUGCUAAACUGAAGAAGCCUAUCAUCAUUGCCAAGCUUAAUGCCGAUAAGUACUCCCGUCUCGCUCGGAAGCUUGAGAUCGAUGCAUUCCCGACUCUCAUGCUCUAUAACCAUGGAGUUCCAAUGGAGUACUAUGGACCAAGGAAAGCAGAUUUGCUCGUCCGUUACUUGAAGAAGUUUGUUGCUCCAGAUGUUGCAGUUCUUGAGUCAGACUCAGCCGUCAAGGAGUUUGUUGAAGAUGCUGGGACUUUCUUCCCUGUGUUUAUCGGGUUUGGUUUGAAUGAAUCGUUGAUAUCAGGAUUAGGUGCGAAGUAUAAGAAGAAGGCAUGGUUUGCUGUUGCCAAGGAUGCUUCAGAAGAUGUAAUGGUUUCCUAUGAUUUCGAUAAGGCUCCUGCUUUAGUUGCCAAACAUCCAUCGUACAAUGAGCAUAGCGUCUUCUAUGGUCCAUUUGAAGAUGGAUUCUUGGAGGAGUUUGUGAAACAAAGUUUCCUUCCUUUGAUUCUGCCAAUUAACCAGGAUACUCUGAAGCUGCUGAAGGACGAUGAGAGAAAGAUUGUCUUGACAAUUGUGGAAGAUGAAACUCACGAAAGCUUAGGGAAACUGACCAAAGCACUGAGAGCAGCUGCUCAUGCAAACCGUGACCUUGUUUUUGGCUACGUUGGUGUGGAGCAGUUUGAAGAGUUUGCAGACUCGUUUCAUGUUGACAAGAAGACACAGCUGCCUAAGAUUGUUGUAUGGGAUGGGGAUGAGGAGUAUGAUCAGGUGACUGGCAUAGAGACUAUUAGCCAAGAGGAAGAUCAUUUGACUCAAGUCUCUCGGUUUCUAGAGGGAUACAGAGAAGGAAGAACAGAGAAGAAGAAAUUUAAAGGACCAUCUUUGAUGGGAUUCAUUAACUCAAUGAUUGGGAUCAGGUCAGUGUACGUCAUUGUGUUCUUGGUUGCCGUCAUUAUGAUGCUACGGAGCCUCGGUCAAGUGGAUGAGCCUGCUGCAGCCCACGAAAGAGUUCAUCAGACCACUAGUGUCCCUGAAGGUGAAACCAGUGAGAUUACGGCUAGUGACAAAAAAGAGGACUAGUUUUGCUACAACUUGAAUGUGUUCUUGGUGCUAGAUACUGAUUUUGCGUAUACCAAUCAAGCAGUUACUACACAACUACGUAAAAAAUAAGGCCAAACAGGUUCACUCUGUAUUUACAACCUGGUUGCGACACGGUGUCACAUUGCAACUUUGAGGAAAUCUUGGUGGGAGUCUAUUGAGUCUUGCAGAGUGACACAGCUCUUGUUAACAUGGAAUAAGCUUCUAUGGUUUAGUUAAGCAGCCUGGAAGAGAAUUAGCAGAGGCAAAAAGAGAGAGACCUGAACAACUCACUCUGGUGAGGGAAAUGCUUAAGCAUACCUAACGACCAAACCUAGCUUGGUGGUGUAUUGACCGGGCUUGUUAUUAUAUUUGUAGAUCUUUUGGAAAAGGCGUUCCUGAAAUCUUGUGUGGGGCACAUAGGAACGAGAGAGAGACUCUGUUAAGUUUUGUGAUAUUGUAACCUCUGUAACUAA
Molecule: RNA transcript, 1778 nt
Organism: Camelina sativa (false flax)
Lineage: Eukaryota; Viridiplantae; Streptophyta; Magnoliopsida; Brassicales; Brassicaceae
Gene name: protein disulfide-isomerase 5-2
Source: RefSeq, a predicted model, not a curated record